GCCGACAGCUAGCUCUUUGCAAUUCUGACAUGGUCGCCCACUGAAUAUGAGCAGGGCUGUGCCCGGUCGAUACCUGGAUGGGAGACCACAUGGGAAAGCUAGGCUGCUGCCGGAA
Danio rerio (zebrafish) is the source of this 115-nucleotide ribosomal RNA. NCBI's taxonomy places the organism in Eukaryota, Metazoa, Chordata, Actinopteri, Cypriniformes, Danionidae. The record is from Ensembl.